RNAcentral lists this ribosomal RNA (693 nucleotides) under uncultured Bacteroidota bacterium. RNAcentral's name for it is "bacterial SSU rRNA". It matches the Rfam family "Bacterial small subunit ribosomal RNA", at positions 28 to 717 of the family's 1533-position model. The record is from RNAcentral. Lineage: Bacteria; Pseudomonadati; Bacteroidota.
GAUGAACGCUAGCGGCAGGCUUAAUACAUGCAAGUCGAGGGGCAGCACGGGUAGCAAUAUCUGGUGGCGACCGGCGCACGGGUGCGUAACACGUAUACAAUCUACCCUUAACAGGGGGAUAGCCCUCCGAAAGGAGGAUUAAUACCCCAUAAUAAAUUGAAUGGCAUCAUUUGAUUUUGAAAGUUCCGACGGUUAAGGAUGAGUAUGCGUCUGAUUAGCUAGUUGGUGAGGUAAAGGCUCGCCAAGGCAACGAUCAGUAGGGGAUCUGAGAGGACUACCCCCCACACUGGUACUGAGACACGGACCAGACUCCUACGGGAGGCAGCAGUAAGGAAUAUUGGUCAAUGGAGGCAACUCUGAACCAGCCAUGCCGCGUGCAGGAAGACGGCCCUAUGGGUUGUAAACUGCUUUUGUACGGGAGAAAACCCUUUCACGUGUGAGAGGUUGAUAGUACCGUAAGAAUAAGCAUCGGCUAACUUCGUGCCAGCAGCCGCGGUAAGACGAAGGAUGCAAGCGUUAUCCGGAUUCAUUGGGUUUAAAGGGAGCGUAGGUGGACUUGUAAGUCAGUGGUGAAAUCUCUCAGCUUAACUGAGAAACUGCCAUUGAUACUGCAGGUCUUGAGUACAGAUGAUGUGGGCGGAAUAUGACAUGUAGUGGUGAAAUACUUAGAUAUGUCAUAGAACACCGAUUGCG